CUUAUUUGAGACAGUAAAAUAGAGAAUGAUUUCCAUGAUGACUUAGUGUAUUGGUAACAUAGGUUCAGUGCUAUCCUGGAUUAACUAAGCAUUUAUUAAUGGUAGUAUUCAAUGUGGUUUAGCUGAAAUUGCCAAAAAAAAUGAUUAUUUUGGAGUUGCUCUGUGAAGGCUUUGUGCUCAGUUCACCCAUAUUUGAUUACCUCUGCUUAAUUAGCAAGCAAUGUAACUACUAUUCCUUUAAUCGUUUGUCCAGUAUG
Pelobates cultripes (western spadefoot toad) is the source of this 257-nucleotide non-coding RNA. NCBI's taxonomy places the organism in Eukaryota, Metazoa, Chordata, Amphibia, Anura, Pelobatidae. The record is from the annotation of a GenBank genome assembly.